RNAcentral lists this ribosomal RNA (253 nucleotides) under uncultured bacterium. RNAcentral's name for it is "partial 16S ribosomal RNA". It matches the Rfam family "Bacterial small subunit ribosomal RNA", at positions 524 to 776 of the family's 1533-position model. The record is from RNAcentral.
UACGUAGGGUGCAAGCGUUAAUCGGAAUUACUGGGCGUAAAGCGUACGCAGGCGGCUUUGCAAGACAGGUGUGAAAUCCCCGGGCCUAACCUGGGAACUGCAUUUGUGACUGCAUGGCUAGAGUUUGUCAGAGGGGGGUGGAAUUCCACGUGUAGCAGCGAAAUGCGUAGAUAUGUGGAGGAACACCGAUGGCGAAGGCAGCCCCCUGGGAUGUGACUGACGCUCAUGUACGAAAGCGUGGGGAGCAAACAGG